This 478-nucleotide ribosomal RNA is filed under the name uncultured bacterium. Its description in RNAcentral is "partial 16S ribosomal RNA". It matches the Rfam family "Bacterial small subunit ribosomal RNA", at positions 28 to 507 of the family's 1533-position model. The record is from RNAcentral.
GAUGAACGCUAGCGGCAGGCCUAACACAUGCAAGUCGAGGGAGAAGCCCUUUCGGGGGCAGAAACCGGCGCACGGGUGCGUAACGCGUAUGCAACCUACCUUUCACAGGGGGAUAGCCCGAAGAAAUUUGGAUUAAUACCCCAUAAUAUUAUUGGAUGGCAUCAUUUGAUAAUUAAAACUGCGGUGGUGAAAGAUGGGCAUGCGUCCUAUUAGCUAGUUGGAGUGGUAACGGCACCCCAAGGCUACGAUAGGUAGGGGUCCUGAGAGGGAGAUCCCCCACACGGGUACUGAGACAGGGACCAGACUCCUACGGGAGGCAGCAGUGAGGAAUAUUGGUCAAUGGUCGGAAGACUGAACCAGCCAUGCCGCGUGCAGGAAGAAUGCCUUAUGGGUUGUAAACUGCUUUUAUAUGGGAAGAAUAAGGCGUACGUGUACGUUGAUGACGGUACCAGAUGAAUAAGCAUCGGCUAACUCCGUG